Molecule: ribosomal RNA, 492 nt
Filed under: uncultured bacterium
Lineage: Bacteria
Description: partial 16S ribosomal RNA
Rfam family: Bacterial small subunit ribosomal RNA
Source: RNAcentral
AGUGAACGCUGGCGGUAGGCCUAACACAUGCAAGUCGAACGGCAGCACAGUAAGAGCUUGCUCUUACGGGUGGCGAGUGGCGGACGGGUGAGGAAUACAUCGGAAUCUACUUUUUCGUGGGGGAUAACGUAGGGAAACUUACGCUAAUACCGCAUACGACCUACGGGUGAAAGCAGGGGAUCUUCGGACCUUGCGCGAUUGAAUGAGCCGAUGUCGGAUUAGCUAGUUGGCGGGGUACAGGCCCACCAAGGCGACGAUCCGUAGCUGGUCUGAGAGGAUGAUCAGCCACACUGGAACUGAGACACGGUCCAGACUCCUACGGGAGGCAGCAGUGGGGAAUAUUGGACAAUGGGCGCAAGCCUGAUCCAGCCAUACCGCGUGGGUGAAGAAGGCCUUCGGGUUGUAAAGCCCUUUUGUUGGGAAAGAAAAGCAGCAGGUUAAUACCCCGCUGUGCUGACGGUACCCAAAGAAUAAGCACCGGCUAACUUCGUG